This 1477-nucleotide ribosomal RNA is filed under the name uncultured Bordetella sp. RNAcentral's name for it is "partial 16S-23S ribosomal RNA intergenic spacer". It matches the Rfam family "Bacterial small subunit ribosomal RNA". The record is from RNAcentral. Lineage: Bacteria; Pseudomonadati; Pseudomonadota; Betaproteobacteria; Burkholderiales; Alcaligenaceae.
AGUUCGAUCAUGGCUCAGAUUGAACGCUGGCGGGAUCUUUACAUGCAAGUCGAACGGCAGCACGGACUUCAGUCUGGUGGCGAGUGGCGAACGGGUGGGUAAUGUAUCCGGAACAUUAUAGUAGCGGGGGAUAUACGCGCGAAAGCGUAGCUAAUACCACAUACGCCCUUCGGGGAAAGCAGGGGACCUUCGGGCCUCGCACUAAUGAAACGGCCGAUAUCGGAUUAGCUAGUUGGUGGGGUAACGGCUCACCAAGGCGGCGAUCCGUAGCUGGUUUGAGAGGACGACCAACCACACUGGGACUGAGACACGGCCCAGAUUCCUACGGGAGGCAGCAGUGGGGAAUUUUGGACAAUGGGGGAAACCUGAUCCAGCCAUCCCGCGUGCGAUGAAGGCCUUCAGGUUGUCGCUUGGCAGGAAAGAAACGGCACGGGAUAUUACCCCGUGCAACUGACUGUUACCUGCAGAAUAAGCACCGGCUAACUACGUGCCAGCAGCCGCGGUAAUACGUAGGGUGCAAGCGUUAAUCGGAAUUACUGGGCGUAAAGCGUGCGCAGGCGGUUCGGAAGAAAGAUGUGAAAUCCCAGAGCUUAACUUUGGAACUGCAUUUUUAACUACCGAGCUAGAGUGUGUCAGAGGAGUGGAAUUCCGCGAUGUAGCAGUGAAAUGCGUAGAUAUGCGGAGAACACCGAUGGCGAAGAAGGCAGCCUCCUGGGAUAACACUGACGCUCAUGCGCGAAAGCGUGGGGAGCAAACAGGAUUAGAUACCCUGGUAGUCCACGCCCUAAACGAUGUCAACUGGCUAUUUGGGGCCUUCGGGCCUUGGUAGCGCAGCUAACGCGUGAAGUUGACCGCCUGGGGAGUACGGUCGCAAGAUUAAAACUCAAAGGAAUUGACGGGGACCGCACAAGCGGUGGAUGAUGUGGAUUAAUUCGAUGCAACGCGAAAAGCCUUACCUACCCUUGACAUGUCUGGAAUCCCGAAGAGAUUUGGGAGUGCUCGCAAGAGAACCGGAACACAGGUGCUGCAUGGCUGUCGUCCGGCUCGUGUCGUGAGAUGUUGGGUUAAGUCCCGCAACGGAAGCAGCCUUGUCAUUGGUUGCUACGAAAGGGCACUCUAGUAAGGACGCAUUGACAAACCGGAGGAAGGUGGGGAUGACGUCAAGUCCACUCAUAGCCCUUAUGGGUAGGGCUUCACGUCAUACAAUGGUCGGGACAGAAGGGUCGCCCAGCCCGCGAGGGGGAACCAAUCCCAGAAACCCGAUCGUAGUCCGGAUCGCAGUCUGCAACUCGACUGCGUGAAGUCGGAAUCGCUAGUAAUCGCGGAUCAGCAUGUCGCGGUGAAUACGUUCCCGGGUCUUGUACACACCGCCCGUCACACCAUGGGAGUGGGUUUUACCAGAAGUAGUUAGCCUAACCGUAAGGAGGGCGAUUACCACGGUAGGAUUCAUGACUGGGGUGAAGUCGUAACAAGGUAA